UAUGGGGUCAGUCCAAGGAUGAGAAGCUUCGACUAAGGUUCGACUCGAGCGAAGCGAGAGAACGUUGCCGCAGGCAACGGCCCGAAGGGCGAAGCGCUUUAGCGCCGAGUAAUCCUUCCCCCACCA
RNAcentral lists this small RNA (126 nucleotides) under Klebsiella pneumoniae. RNAcentral describes it as "RtT sRNA". It matches the Rfam family "RtT RNA". From Rfam's summary of the family: This family represents a bacterial cis-regulatory element known as RtT RNA. The exact function of RtT is unknown although it is thought that it may be involved in changing the cellular response in relation to amino acid starvation. Lineage: Bacteria; Pseudomonadati; Pseudomonadota; Gammaproteobacteria; Enterobacterales; Enterobacteriaceae. The record is from RNAcentral.